UUAAAAAUAAUAAAUAAAUAAAUGGACAAAUAAAAAUUAAAUGAAUAAAAUAGAUAAAGUGAAUGAAUUUGAAACGUUGGGAUUUUAAAAGAAUUAUUUGAUGACGUGAUUUUAAAAAAAAAUGAAAAUUUUAACAUGAAAAAUGGGAUUAAGAAGAUGGCACGUGGGAGAAAGUGGAAAAAAUAAUAAUAAACCAUCUUGAAACCUGCUGGAACCCUGCUACUAAUGGAAAAUAAAAAAAAAUAAUAAAAAACUCAUGUCUUUGACUUUUAUCCACCAAUUUGCUUAAACAAUGCCAUCAGUGGGAAACAAAAGGGCUUCGGCAUAUCCCUCCUUGAGGCAAAC
This 345-nucleotide long non-coding RNA is filed under the name Vitis vinifera (wine grape). RNAcentral's name for it is "long non-coding RNA (VVIN_LNC004324)". The record is from RNAcentral. Lineage: Eukaryota; Viridiplantae; Streptophyta; Magnoliopsida; Vitales; Vitaceae.